This 631-nucleotide small RNA is filed under the name Pan troglodytes (chimpanzee). Its description in RNAcentral is "processed transcript". Lineage: Eukaryota; Metazoa; Chordata; Mammalia; Primates; Hominidae. The record is from RNAcentral.
AUCUUGUGAUGUAUAUCUGGGAUUGUCCGAAAAUUAUGAAAUGAAAGUUGCAUCACACUUCAUGGAACCUCUUGCGGUUGGGCUACUUGAAAGUGACUUUGACCUUGUAUAGAAAGGUAUGUCAUCACCAACCCGCCCUAUGAGUUUGAGCUCGUGCCGACGGACCUGAUCUUCUGCUUAAUGCAGUUUGACCACAAUGCCGGCCAGUCCCGGGCCAGCCUGUCCCAUUCCUCCCACUCGUCGCAGUCCUCCAGCAAGAAGAGCUCCUCUGUUCACUCCAUCCCAUCCACAGCAAACCGACAGAACCGGCCCAAGUCCAGGGAGUCCCGGGACAAACAGAAAAAAGAAAUGGUUUACAGAUGAACCGGAUAAUGCCUAUCCCAGAAACAUUCAAAUCAAGCCCAUGAGUACCCACAUGGCUAACCAGAUCAACCAAUAUAAAUCCACAAGCAGCUUGAUUCCACCAAUCAGAGAAGUUGAAGAUGAAUGUUGACUCCCAGGAGACCAGAACUAUUUUUUUAAAGCCUGACAAACUUCAUAAAUGGUGAUGUGACUUUUCUUCUUACAUGCUGAAUCACUGGUGGAAACGUUAGGAUAAGCAAGAAUUGCCAGAAAAUAAAGUAGACAGAUC